RNAcentral lists this ribosomal RNA (253 nucleotides) under uncultured bacterium. Its description in RNAcentral is "partial 16S ribosomal RNA". It matches the Rfam family "Bacterial small subunit ribosomal RNA", at positions 524 to 776 of the family's 1533-position model. The record is from RNAcentral.
UACGUAGGUGACAAGCGUUGUCCGGAAUUACUGGGCGUAAAGAGCGCGCAGGCGGUCGUUCAAGUCGCGUGUGAAAGCCCCCGGCUCAACUGGGGAGGGUCACGCGAUACUGAUCGACUCGAAGGCAGGAGAGGGUAGUGGAAUUCCCGGUGUAGUGGUGAAAUGCGUAGAUAUCGGGAGGAACACCAGUGGCGAAGGCGACUACCUGGCCUGUUCUUGACGCUGAGGCGCGAAAGCUAGGGGAGCAAACAGG